RNA transcript from Musa acuminata AAA Group (dessert banana), 1408 nucleotides. It is a transcript of the gene named glucan endo-1,3-beta-glucosidase 4, with no coding region annotated. The transcript is spliced from 5 exons. NCBI's taxonomy places the organism in Eukaryota, Viridiplantae, Streptophyta, Magnoliopsida, Zingiberales, Musaceae. The record is from RefSeq and is a predicted model, not a curated record.
AUGUAUGUGAAGCAGAGAACGCUAUAAUUGCAAGAAUAUUUCUCCAUCUUACGCCUUUCAAAGAUAGCAGUCUGCUUUUCUAUAGAUCCACAGCUUCAAUCUCGAAGCCCUCUCACAAAUUCCACACAGUUUCCAACUUGUAACACCUCGAGAUUUCCUUCUCUCUCUCUCUCUCUGGAGGGGUAAGGAGCCUGUUCCUCUGCAAUUCUAUUGACUGAUUCAGCUACAUCCCAACCUAUCGAGAUAAAUCGUGAAGCUUGACGACAUGUUGUUGCCAAAAAGAUGGCAGAGCUGCAUGAUGCUUCUCAUCUUUGUCCUGUCGGAUGGUACAGGGACGACAAAACAGAGCAGAGCAGCUACUGCUGCUGUCUGCGGCAAGGAUCUGCAACCCAGGAGCAGAGUGCUGAUGGGCUUUGCGAGUCUAGCCGACACCAUGAGUGCAUCAGGUCUGGUGUUCUGUGUGGCGAAUCCCAGUGCUGACGCGAACGCACUGAGGAAUGGAUUGGAUUGGGCUUGCGGACCGGGCGCUGCAAACUGCACUGCGAUACAGCCAGGGCAGCCUUGCUAUGAACCCAAUAACCUGACUGCCUUGGCUUCCUAUGCCUACAAUGACUACUACCAAAGAACAAGAGCAAGCGGAGGAUCCUGCUCCUUCAACAACACGGCCAUGACGACCACCAGUGAUCCUAGUUGGACAGGUAAGACAAUGAUCUGCUAUCGAUCAAUGACCCAAGGAACUCAUAACACACACAGCAGAACUUCUUUCUAGUGUUUUGCUUGCAGUUCCAUUACAAGUGCUUUCCUCCUACAAAUCCUAAGCUAAUCGAUCGGGUUGUGCAGGCCAUGGCUCAUGCAUCUUCACUGGAAGUGCGGGAGGGACCACGAACACCAACACAACCACAAGCCCGAGUCCGACUACCACUCCGAGCAGCGGUGGAUCGCCCGGCAGUAACAAUUACGUCCCUCUUGGCUCAAACAUCGAUAGAGCUGCUUCCGCAUCGCGUGCUCUCCAAGUGGUGGCAUGUUUGCUCCCCUUGCUGUGCUCUUUCCGGUGCGGCAUGUAAACUUUGGUAUGAUUCAUGGUGACUUGACAGAAACAACAUGAACAAAAUGGGGAACGUCUUUUUCAUUCUGAAAACAUUUUUUUGGUUUUUCUGUAUAUCUUUCUUCAAAUAUGAUGUAUGUUACCACCUGCUGUGUGUUCAUGUUUCAUGUUUGUAGAACACUGGAGAGCUGAUCAGGUGAGGUGGAAGAAAAGGAUUGCUAUCUUGCUUGUUAAUGGAAGACAACCGUGAUGCUACCUCUGUCCAACGAGUGUUGGAGCCAUUACUGCUGCAGCCUUGUCCUUCUCAUCAACUUCGAUUCUUAUACUUAGUACAUAUCAAUAGAUUCUUACAUGUUAACUUCA